Gopherus evgoodei (Goodes thornscrub tortoise) is the source of this 648-nucleotide long non-coding RNA. RefSeq lists it as uncharacterized. Lineage: Eukaryota; Metazoa; Chordata; Testudines; Testudinidae. The record is from RefSeq and is a predicted model, not a curated record. The transcript has 3 exons.
UGCAGGAGGAUACAGGGAAAGUUGAACUGGAUCCUACAGGGAGGAAGAAGGAGGCGUCUGAGUCGCAGGGGAAGUGGGAAAAAGGGAGCCCAGAAGAGCAAGAAGAAGAGCGCACUCCCACCCCGUCAUUACCAAGCAGCUCCCAUAUGACGAUGACCCCCGGGGAGCAGCUUUCCUCAGCCCAGCUCCAAGCCCUGCUGAUGAAAGCCGUGAAGGGUCUGACAACACCCACCCUGGAGCGAUUUCAAGCUGCAGAGGAAGAGCUGAGGACCAUCGUAUCUCUACACGGAGACAAGAUGGAGAGAGUAAGAGACUCCAGCCGUGGGGCAGGGAGAUGCUCCCCAGAGAGGGAGAGGGGAGAAUUUCCUCUCCUAGGAAACCAUUCCUGGGACACACGGACAUGGUGCUUUGAAGGUUGGCUCAGCCCCUUUCCCUUCAUCACUUGGCCGCGGGGAUCCGUGGCGUCAGGUGUUUAAGGUAUUCUCUGCCCGCUGGAGCUCUGACACGUCCCUGAGGACAGCCCAGCCUCACUGAAGGGGAGCGAUAGCCCCAGCUCUGGCAGCGCAGCACUUACCUAGUCUGCCCAUAGGCCUCCACAUUAGGCUCCAGGAGCAGACAUGGUUUCCUCAGACAUGCUGCGGGGCCUUG